AUUCUGCCCAAGCGGGGAAGGCUUCGACCAAGGUUCGACUUGAGCGCCAGCGAGAGAGCGUUGCCGCAGGCAACGACCCGAAGGGCGAAGCGCGCAGCGCUGAGUAAUCCUUCCCCCACCACCA
RNAcentral lists this small RNA (124 nucleotides) under Escherichia coli. RNAcentral describes it as "RtT sRNA". It matches the Rfam family "RtT RNA". From Rfam's summary of the family: This family represents a bacterial cis-regulatory element known as RtT RNA. The exact function of RtT is unknown although it is thought that it may be involved in changing the cellular response in relation to amino acid starvation. The record is from RNAcentral. Lineage: Bacteria; Pseudomonadati; Pseudomonadota; Gammaproteobacteria; Enterobacterales; Enterobacteriaceae.